This 173-nucleotide non-coding RNA is filed under the name Hyphomonadaceae bacterium. RNAcentral's name for it is "6S RNA". It matches the Rfam family "6S / SsrS RNA". Rfam says of the family: E. coli 6S RNA was the first non coding RNA to be sequenced, but its function was unknown until recently. It consists of 184 nucleotides that fold into an extended hairpin structure with a large single-stranded internal bulge. Lineage: Bacteria; Pseudomonadati; Pseudomonadota; Alphaproteobacteria; Hyphomonadales; Hyphomonadaceae. The record is from RNAcentral.
CGGCUUCUGCGGCGUGCGAGAGGUUUCAAUCCCCGAGACCGUACAUUCUCUCUCGGGAGUUGGCUCUGUCCCGACCGGCUGGUUCCUUGACCGGACGGCGGGGCAUCUGGCGCCCACCUAGCUUGCUAGGGUCCGAGUGGAUGAUAUGCCUCCAUCGGCGCAUGCGGGGCCGC